This 1138-nucleotide long non-coding RNA is filed under the name Cervus hanglu yarkandensis (Yarkand deer). RNAcentral's name for it is "lncRNA (ENSCHYG00000018689.1)". Lineage: Eukaryota; Metazoa; Chordata; Mammalia; Artiodactyla; Cervidae. The record is from RNAcentral.
CUGGCCCAGGCCACACCUCCCAUUUUGUACAGCAGGAAGUUGAGGUUCAGAGGUUCAGUGAGGCUUAGAGGCUGGGGUACUCAAGACUCCCAGACCCCUGCUCCUUCAGAAGCACAGUCCCUCAGCCACUGCUUUGGGUUCACAUUUGAUGUGAGUCAAAGGGAUCCCUUGCUAUGUCUGUGUCCCUGACCCAGCAUCAAACACUAAAGUAUGUGAGAUGGUCUGAUUCAAUCACCAAAUGUCAAAUAAUCUGAUGGGUGAGGAAUUUGACUGAAAAAAAAAGAGAUGAAAUACAUCCUUGAGUCCGCGACACCUAAUAGAGAAGUAAUUGAAAUAGAAAAUGAGAUUCAGGACACGCACACACACACACAAGCUCUUUGUGACUGUGGUAAAGCCUUUUUAAGUCCCUGGGACUCAGAUUCCUCCUCUGUAACACAGGGUACUGCCCACUCUCAUGGGGGAGUGGAAUGUUAACUCAGGCCUCCCACGAGUGCUGCCUGCUGGGAAGGAAUUGCAGCGGGCCCUGAAAGAAGGGGAGGUGUGGGCAUUCAAGAGAAUUGGGCCCAGGAAUGAAAGUGCACAAGGGGGUGAGGGAAGGGCAGAAUGGAAGGGUCUCUUGGGGCCACCCCCAUGACCACUGAGAAGACUCCAUCCCCUAUCCUCCCAACUCCAAAGCCCCCAGGACCAGGAAUGGUUACAAAAAGGAGGCAAGCUCUGCUGGCCAGCGGAGAACAGAAGGCUGAAAGGGAAGGCCAAAAGGAGGGGAAAAGUUUGUCAUCUGUGGCUGCCUGACCGGGCUGUUCGCCAUACCCAUCUCUUCAUCUGCCUGGACUACAUUUCCCAGCCUCCCUUGCAGUUCGGUGCGGCCCACGCCUGGGUUCUAGCAAACAGAAGGUGGGUGGAAGCCAAGUACAGUACUUCCAGCCCUGGCUCCUACAAACCUUCCCAAACGAUGCUCCAAGCUCUUUCUCCUCCCCUCAGCUUGAUGCACAGGGACCUCAUGGAAGCCGCCUGGUGGAGACAGUGGAGCCACAAGAUGGAAUCUGCACACCACAGUCAUGGCUUAGAGGAGGGCAACCUUCCAUAAGGAACAUCCACUCUGGGCUUUGAGUGAGAAAUAAACUUUUGUGUUCUUGAG